Molecule: ribosomal RNA, 253 nt
Filed under: uncultured bacterium
Lineage: Bacteria
Description: partial 16S ribosomal RNA
Rfam family: Bacterial small subunit ribosomal RNA
Source: RNAcentral
UACGUAGGGGGCAAGCGUUGUCCGGAUUUAUUGGGCGUAAAGAGCGUGUAGGCGGCCAUACAGGUCCGUUGUGAAAACUGGAGGCUUAACCUCCAGACGUCGAUGGAAACCGUAUGGCUAGAGUCCGGAAGAGGAGAGUGGAAUUCCUGGUGUAGCGGUGAAAUGCGCAGAUAUCAGGAAGAACACCCGUGGCGAAGGCGGAUCUCUGGUACGUGACUGACGCUGAGACGCGAAAGCGUGGGGAGCAAACAGG